Molecule: long non-coding RNA, 162 nt
Organism: Hyla sarda
Lineage: Eukaryota; Metazoa; Chordata; Amphibia; Anura; Hylidae
Exons: 3
Source: RefSeq, a predicted model, not a curated record
AUAGGUCACUUUCACCUUCUCACCGAACAUCAGUCACCUGUAAAAAGACACAGUUAUGUUCUAAAUCUGCAGUCAGUUUGUCUAAAGGAAACUUGUAAACCUUGGGUUGACGGGGGUAUAGGUCACUUUCACCUUCUCACCGAACAUCAGUCACCUGUAAAA